CCUACGGGUGGCAGCAGUGGGGGAUAUUGGACAAUGGGGGCAACUCUGACCCAGCGACGCCGCGUGAAUGAUGAAGUACUUCGGUUUGUAAAGCUCUGUCAUCAGGGAUGAAAACAAUGACGGUACCCCACUAGCAAGCCACGGCUAACUACGUGCCAGCAGCCGCGGUAAUACGUAGGUGGCAAGCGUUAUCCGGAAUGACUGGGUGUAAAGGGUGCGUAGGUGGUUGUGUAAGUUGGCGGUGUAAUGCCGGGGCGCAACCUCGGGGCUACUGCGAAAACUGUUAGACUAGAGUGCAGGAGGGGUAAGUGGAAUUCCUAGUGUAGCGGUGGAAUGCGUAGAUAUUAGGAGGAACACCAGGGGCGAAGGCGACUUACUGGACUGUAACUGACACUGAGGCACGAAAGCGUGGGGAGCAAACAGGAUUAGAUACCCUUGUAGUC
RNAcentral lists this ribosomal RNA (443 nucleotides) under uncultured bacterium. RNAcentral's name for it is "partial 16S ribosomal RNA". It matches the Rfam family "Bacterial small subunit ribosomal RNA", at positions 338 to 795 of the family's 1533-position model. The record is from RNAcentral.